Molecule: ribosomal RNA, 2771 nt
Filed under: Cronobacter sakazakii
Lineage: Bacteria; Pseudomonadati; Pseudomonadota; Gammaproteobacteria; Enterobacterales; Enterobacteriaceae
Description: bacterial LSU rRNA
Rfam family: Bacterial large subunit ribosomal RNA
Source: RNAcentral
AGCGUACACGGUGGAUGCCCUGGCAGUCAGAGGCGAUGAAGGACGUGCUAAUCUGCGAAAAGCGCCGGUAAGGUGAUAUGAACCGUUAUAACCGGCGAUGUCCGAAUGGGGAAACCCGGUGCACUUCGGUGCAUCAUCGUUAGCUGAAUACAUAGGCUAACGAGGCGAACCGGGGGAACUGAAACAUCUAAGUACCCCGAGGAAAAGAAAUCAACCGAGAUUCCCCCAGUAGCGGCGAGCGAACGGGGAACAGCCCAGAGCCUGAAUCAGCUUGUGUGUCAGUGGAACGGUCUGGAAAGGCCGGCGAUACAGGGUGACAGCCCCGUACACGAAGGCACACAGGCUGUGAGCUCGAUGAGUAGGGCGGGACACGUGAUAUCCUGUCUGAAGAUGGGGGGACCAUCCUCCAAGGCUAAAUACUCCUGACUGACCGAUAGUGAACCAGUACCGUGAGGGAAAGGCGAAAAGAACCCCGGCGAGGGGAGUGAAACAGAACCUGAAACCGUGUACGUACAAGCAGUGGGAGCCUUCGUAAGAGGGUGACUGCGUACCUUUUGUAUAAUGGGUCAGCGACUUAUAUUCUGUAGCAAGGUUAACCGUAUAGGGGAGCCGAAGGGAAACCGAGUCUUAAUUGGGCGUUAAGUUGCAGGGUAUAGACCCGAAACCCGGUGAUCUAGCCAUGGGCAGGUUGAAGGUUGGGUAACACUAACUGGAGGACCGAACCGACUAAUGUUGAAAAAUUAGCGGAUGACCUGUGGCUGGGGGUGAAAGGCCAAUCAAACCGGGAGAUAGCUGGUUCUCCCCGAAAGCUAUUUAGGUAGCGCCUCGUGAACUCAUCUCCGGGGGUAGAGCACUGUUUCGGCUAGGGGGCCAUCCCGGCUUACCAACCCGAUGCAAACUGCGAAUACCGGAGAAUGUUAUCACGGGAGACACACGGCGGGUGCUAACGUCCGUCGUGAAGAGGGAAACAACCCAGACCGCCAGCUAAGGUCCCAAAGUCAUGGUUAAGUGGGAAACGAUGUGGGAAGGCCCAGACAGCCAGGAUGUUGGCUUAGAAGCAGCCAUCAUUUAAAGAAAGCGUAAUAGCUCACUGGUCGAGUCGGCCUGCGCGGAAGAUGUAACGGGGCUAAACCAUGCACCGAAGCUGCGGCAGCGACACUAUGUGUUGUUGGGUAGGGGAGCGUUCUGUAAGCCUGCGAAGGUGUGCUGUGAGGCAUGCUGGAGGUAUCAGAAGUGCGAAUGCUGACAUAAGUAACGAUAAAGCGGGUGAAAAGCCCGCUCGCCGGAAGACCAAGGGUUCCUGUCCAACGUUAAUCGGGGCAGGGUGAGUCGACCCCUAAGGCGAGGCCGAAAGGCGUAGUCGAUGGGAAACAGGUUAAUAUUCCUGUACUUGGUGUUACUGCGAAGGGGGGACGGAGAAGGCUAUGUCGGCCGGGCGACGGUUGUCCCGGUUUAAGCGUGUAGGCUGACUUUCCAGGCAAAUCCGGAAGGUUAAGGCUGAGGCGUGAUGACGAGGCACCACGGUGCUGAAGUGACAAAUGCCCUGCUUCCAGGAAAAGCCUCUAAGCAUCAGGUAACAUCAAAUCGUACCCCAAACCGACACAGGUGGUCAGGUAGAGAAUACCAAGGCGCUUGAGAGAACUCGGGUGAAGGAACUAGGCAAAAUGGUGCCGUAACUUCGGGAGAAGGCACGCUGACAUGUAGGUGAAGCCCCUGCGGGUGGAGCUGAAGUCAGUCGAAGAUACCAGCUGGCUGCAACUGUUUAUUAAAAACACAGCACUGUGCAAACACGAAAGUGGACGUAUACGGUGUGACGCCUGCCCGGUGCCGGAAGGUUAAUUGAUGGGGUUAUCGCAAGAGAAGCUCCUGAUCGAAGCCCCGGUAAACGGCGGCCGUAACUAUAACGGUCCUAAGGUAGCGAAAUUCCUUGUCGGGUAAGUUCCGACCUGCACGAAUGGCGUAAUGAUGGCCAGGCUGUCUCCACCCGAGACUCAGUGAAAUUGAACUCGCUGUGAAGAUGCAGUGUACCCGCGGCAAGACGGAAAGACCCCGUGAACCUUUACUACAGCUUGACACUGAACAUUGAGCCUUGAUGUGUAGGAUAGGUGGGAGGCUUUGAAGCGUGGACGCCAGUCUGCGUGGAGCCGACCUUGAAAUACCACCCUUUAAUGUUUGAUGUUCUAACCUGGCGCCGUGAUCCGGCGUGGGGACAGUGUCUGGUGGGUAGUUUGACUGGGGCGGUCUCCUCCCAAAGUGUAACGGAGGAGCACGAAGGUCAGCUAAUCCUGGUCGGACAUCAGGAGGUUAGUGCAAUGGCAUAAGCUGGCUUGACUGCGAGAGUGACGGCUCGAGCAGGUGCGAAAGCAGGUCAUAGUGAUCCGGUGGUUCUGUAUGGAAGGGCCAUCGCUCAACGGAUAAAAGGUACUCCGGGGAUAACAGGCUGAUACCGCCCAAGAGUUCAUAUCGACGGCGGUGUUUGGCACCUCGAUGUCGGCUCAUCACAUCCUGGGGCUGAAGUAGGUCCCAAGGGUAUGGCUGUUCGCCAUUUAAAGUGGUACGCGAGCUGGGUUUAGAACGUCGUGAGACAGUUCGGUCCCUAUCUGCCGUGGGCGCUGGAGAAUUGAGGGGGGCUGCUCCCAGUACGAGAGGACCGGAGUGGACGCAUCACUGGUGUUCGGGUUGUCAUGCCAAUGGCACUGCCCGGUAGCUAAAUGCGGAAGAGAUAAGUGCUGAAAGCAUCUAAGCACGAAACUUGCCCCGAGAUGAGUUCU